GAGGAAAGAAACCAACAGGGAUUGCCCUAGUAACGGCGAGUGAAGCGGCAACAGCUCAAAUUUGAAAUCUGGCCUCGGCCCGAGUUGUAAUUUGCAGAGGAUGCUUUUGGUGCGGUGCCUUCCGAGUUCCCUGGAACGGGACGCCACAGAGGGUGAGAGCCCCGUAUGGUCGGACACCAAUCCUGUGUAAAGCUCCUUCGACGAGUCGAGUAGUUUGGGAAUGCUGCUCUAAAUGGGAGGUAAAUCUCUUCUAAAGCUAAAUACCGGCCAGAGACCGAUAGCGCACAAGUAGAGUGAUCGAAAGAUGAAAAGCACCUUGAAAAGGGGGUUAAACAGUACGUGAAAUUGUUGAAAGGGAAGCACUUGUGACCAGACUUGGGCCGGGCGGCUCAUCAGGGGUUCUCCCCUGUGCAUUCCGCCCGGUACAGGCCAGCAUCGGUUCUUACCGGGGGAUAAGAACGGCAGGAACGUGGCUCCCUCUCGGGGGAGUGUUAUAGCCUGCCGUACGAUACCCUGGCGGGGACCGAGGUUCGCGCUUCCGCAAGGAUGCUGGCGUAAUGGUUACUAGUGACCCGUCUUGAAACACGGACCAAGGAGUCGUCCAUUAGAGCGAGCGUUUGGGUGUAAAACCCGCACGCGUAAUGAAAGUGAAAUUAGGUGAGAGCUUCGGCGCAUCAUCGACCGAUCCUGAUGUUCUCGGAUGGAUUUGAGUAAGAGUUUUAACGGACGGACCCGAAAGACAGUGAACUAUGCUUGUAUAGGGUGAAGCCAGAGGAAACUCUGGUGGAGGCUCGCAGCGGUUCUGACGUGCAAAUCGAUCGUCAAAUAUGAGCAUGGGGG
This 840-nucleotide ribosomal RNA is filed under the name Tubakia sp. RNAcentral's name for it is "partial large subunit ribosomal RNA". It matches the Rfam family "Eukaryotic large subunit ribosomal RNA", at positions 53 to 923 of the family's 3401-position model. The record is from RNAcentral. Lineage: Eukaryota; Fungi; Ascomycota; Sordariomycetes; Diaporthales; Tubakiaceae.